Molecule: long non-coding RNA, 714 nt
Organism: Alnus glutinosa
Lineage: Eukaryota; Viridiplantae; Streptophyta; Magnoliopsida; Fagales; Betulaceae
Exons: 3
Source: RefSeq, a predicted model, not a curated record
CUUUCCCUUCUCUUUUUCACUUCUUUUUCCUUCUCCUUUUCUUCCUCUCCUCUCCUUCUCUUCCGCACGCACCUCUGUUCCAUCAGCUCUCCCUCUCCCUUUUCCUCCUACUCUCUUCAUCAGCUCACGCACAAACAUAUACCUCUCCCCUGUUUCUCCAUUUCAACCGAAACCCAUCCUUUCUUCCUUUUCUUUUACAAACUGAGAGAGUGAUUUAGAGAGAUGAGUUGAGAGAGAACCCGUACGUGGAGGUGGGUUCUUGGUCGUCAGUAGUGCGAUUUCGGAGCUAUGGUGGUCGGGCCACCGUCAUGGAGUGGAGGCAGCGUCUAGGACAGUGAAUUUCGGCCCUGUUCAGGCACGUGUCAUGAUUGGAGACUUCAACUUGUUCUCCAAUGUAAAGUUCAAGUAAAUAGAAUAUGGGGAGUAUUCGAGUCAAAAGUCCUAUGCAGUCAAGAUGAUGUUCCGUUGGCUGCAGGUACUCCGGUCAUAGUUUAUGGUGUUAUAGAUGUGCACUUGAGAUAUUAUGACCAAGGAUCGCCGCGACGGUCGUAAUUGCGGGACAAUGGGCGUCCUUUGUUUUAUGGGUUUGUUUAUGGUUUGUGACGUUUGUGUCACUUGUUAUUGUAUAAGUUAUUUAUAUUAUGUAUUUAAUUUGAGGAAAGACUUAAAUAGAUAGAUAUAAUAUUGGCUCUUGAUUAUGAUUAAUUUAUGAUA